RNAcentral lists this ribosomal RNA (396 nucleotides) under uncultured bacterium. Its description in RNAcentral is "partial 16S ribosomal RNA". It matches the Rfam family "Bacterial small subunit ribosomal RNA", at positions 523 to 918 of the family's 1533-position model. The record is from RNAcentral.
AUACGUAGGUGGCAAGCGUUGUCCGGAAUUAUUGGGCGUAAAGCGCAUGUAGGCGGUUUGGUAAGUCGGUAGUGAAAAUGCGGUGCUUAACGCCGUAUGGGGAUUGAAACUGCUGAACUUGGGUGCAGGUGAGGAAAGGGGAACUCCCAGGGUAGCGGGGAAAUGCGUAGAUAUUGGGAAGAACACCGGUGGCGAAGGCGCCUUUCUGGACUGUGUCUGACGCUCAGAUGCGAAAGCCAGGGUAGCGAACGGGAUUAGAUACCCCGGUAGUCCUGGCCGUAAACGAUGGGUACUAGGUGUGGGAGGUAUCGACUCCUUCCGUGCCGGAGUUAACGCAAUAAGUACCCCGCCUGGGGAGUACGGCCGCAAGGCUUAAACUCAAAGGAAUUGACGGGG